This 357-nucleotide ribosomal RNA is filed under the name uncultured bacterium. Its description in RNAcentral is "bacterial SSU rRNA". It matches the Rfam family "Bacterial small subunit ribosomal RNA", at positions 170 to 507 of the family's 1533-position model. The record is from RNAcentral.
UUAACGUACCGCAGUACCUCCCGGUAAGGGGAAAGGCGGGGGAUCUUCGGACCUCGCGCUAUUGGAGCGGCCGAUGUCGGAUUAGCUAGUAGGUGAGGUAAAGGCUCACCUAGGCGACGAUCCGUAGCUGGUCUGAGAGGAUGAUCAGCCACACUGGGACUGAGACACGGCCCAGACUCCUACGGGAGGCAGCAGUGGGGAAAUUUUUGGACAAUGGGCGCAAGCCUGAUCCAGCCAUGCCGCGUGAGUGAAGAAGGCCUUCGGGUUGUAAAGCUCUUUCAGGUGGAAAGAAAUAGCGCUGUUUAAUAGAUGGCGUUGAUGACGGUACCACCAGAAGAAGCACCGGCUAACUACGUG